This 1506-nucleotide ribosomal RNA is filed under the name marine sediment metagenome. RNAcentral's name for it is "bacterial LSU rRNA". It matches the Rfam family "Bacterial large subunit ribosomal RNA", at positions 490 to 1997 of the family's 2925-position model. The record is from RNAcentral.
GUGAACUAGUACCGUGAGGGAAAGGUGAAAAGAACCCCGAGAGGGGAGUGAAAUAGAAUAUGAAACCCUAUGUUUACAAGCAACGGAAGUACUUUAUAUGUACGACCGUGUACUUUUUGUAAAACGGGCCAACGAGUUACGAUAUGAAGCGAGGUUAAGAUGUUAAGCAUCGAAGCCGCAGCGAAAGCGAGUCUUAAUAGGGCGAGAGUUUUGUGUUGUAGACCCGAAACCGGGCGAUCUAUCCAUGAGCAGGGUGAAGCAAAAGUAAAAUUUUGUGGAGGCCCGAACCCAUAUCAGUUGAAAAUGGUUGGGAUGACUUGUGGAUAGCGGUGAAAUUCCAAUCGAGCCCGGAGAUAGCUGGUACUCUCCGAAAUAGCUUUAGGGCUAGCCUCAAGAGAUUAGAUAUGGAGGUAGAGCAGACUGAUUACCUGAGGGGCUUUCAACGGCUGCCAAAGGUUAUCAAACUCCGAAUGCCAUAAUCUUAAAUCUUGGGAGUCAGACUAUGUGCGAUAAGGUUCAUAGUCGAAAGGGAAAGAGCCCAGACCAUCAGCUAAGGUCCCUAAAUAUAAAUUAAGUGGGAAAGGAAGUGGUGUUGCACAGACAACUAGGAUGUUGGCUUAGAAGCAGCAAUUCAUUUAAAGAGUGCGUAAUAGCUCACUAGUCGAGUGAUGUUGCACCUAAAAUUACCGGGGCUUAAAUUUAUUACCGAAGCUAUGGAUCACGUAAGUGGUGGUAGGAGAGCAUUGUGUACGGGUAGAAGCUAAACCGUAAGGAUUGGUGGACUGUACACAAGAGAGAAUGUUGGCAUGAGUAACGAGAGUAAGGUGAGAAUCCUUACCGCCGAAAAUCUAAGGUUUCCUGAGGAAGGUUCGUCCUCUCAGGGUAAGUCAGGGCCUAAGCCGAGGACGAAAGUCGUAGGCGAUGGACAACAGGUUAAGAUUCCUGUACCACCGACAAUCGUUAGAGAGAAGCAAGGAAGCAGAAGGAAAAGCUUAGCCUGGCGAAGGUAGACCAGGUACAAGCUACGAGCCAGUAACCAUUGGCAAAUCCGUGGUUACGUUUAAAGUAAGUAGUUACGUGGAGCGAAAAUAAGUAGCGAAGAAGUGGAUUCACACUGUCAAGAAAAGUUGCUAUCGAGAUUGAAGGUGCCUGUACCGUAAACCGACACAGGUAGAUGGAUAGAGAAUAUUAAGGCGCGCGAGAUAACUAUUGUUAAGGAACUCGGCAAAAUAACCCCGUAACUUCGGGAGAAGGGGUGCCACAUGUAUGUUAACGCAUAAAGUGGUUGCAAAAACAAGACACAAACGACUGUUUACCAAAAACACAGGUCUCUGCUAAAUCGUGAGAUGAAGUAUAGGGGCUGACGCCUGCCCGGUGCUGGAAGGUUAAGAGGAAGAGUUAGCGUAAGCGAGGCUCGGAAUUGAAGCCCCAGUGAACGGCGGCCGUAACUAUAACGGUCCUAAGGUAGCGAAAUUCCUUGUCGGGUAAGUUCCGACCCGCACGAAA